UAGGGAGACCUACCCGCUUGAUUACACCGAACUACUUAUAUAGAGGUGAAUCAGUUGGUCAACCUAGGUCGAGCGAGAACGAUGGAAAACUUCUAGACUAUGUCAAGGUUUAUUCGGGCUAUUAGCUCAGGUGGUUAGAGCGCACCCCUGAUAAGGGUGAGGUCCCUGGUUCGAGUCCAGGAUGGCCCACUGCGUGGGGGUUUAGCUCAGUUGGUAGAGCGCCUGCUUUGCAAGCAGGAUGUCAGCGGUUCGAGUCCGCUAACCUCCACCAUUAGAAGAGAAGUCAGCAAGAUGUUUAGCUAGCAGCUAAGUAUAUUGCUGAAGUCUAAAGCUUCAGUAAGACCCUUGAAAAUUGCAUAGUAAGAGCAGAAAGGUAGGUAGGUUUAUCUAUUUAUUGGAGGUAGGUCAUGAGAAUGACUGAAGCCAAGGGAUAGGUAAAGCAAUCCAAGAGAGCCGAGAUUUUAGUUGAUUAAGA
RNAcentral lists this transfer RNA (475 nucleotides) under Microcoleus vaginatus. RNAcentral's name for it is "16S-23S internal transcribed spacer". The stretch from base 196 to 268 matches the Rfam family "tRNA". Lineage: Bacteria; Bacillati; Cyanobacteriota; Cyanophyceae; Oscillatoriales; Microcoleaceae. The record is from RNAcentral.